CAAUAACAGGCUCUCAUUUUUGAGGAAGUAUCAAACAAAUUAAAAGGGGUGGACAUAGUCAAGAUGGCGACUUAGAAGUGGCAAAAGUCAAUUCCUCUGUGAAAACUCUUCUACACCAAUCAAAAACAAAGCACUUCCAGGGGGACAGAAAACCAAAUCCAACAAGAAGACAGAACUGAGGGAUCUUACUCCUCAAUUCAACUUAAAAGGCUUCUCAGGAGUCUUAUGGUUGAAUGACAAAUUUUCUAUUCUGCUCUGGUCUUUUCAUCAAGAAUGUUUGAAAAUACUCCAUUUUAUUAAAUGUCUAUUUUCCCCCUUGAAAGAUCUACUCAGUUUUUCUAGGAACUGUUCUUGAAUAUCUGCUGAAGGGAAAGGAAGAUGACCACAUGGAAGCUAUGUUAAAAGUCAAAAUGGAGAAACAUACCCAACUCCACAGAGAUGGGAUGCUUAUACGAGAUGAAGACAGAUGCCCAAGGAAUGAAGUGAGUUUUGAGUUUGCUUGUUAUAGGAUACCUGGAGCUGAAAAAGAGACAUCAGGACUGCUUUCAAAUGUACAAGUUGUGGAAUUUUCCACGAAUGCAGGUGGAACUCCAUUUCCUUACCUAUAUGAUAGGUGGUUGCAUUGCAUCAGACUUCUACACCUUUCUGCUUCAAAGAUCACUUUGCCAUUAUAAAGAAACUUA
Long non-coding RNA from Monodelphis domestica (gray short-tailed opossum), 683 nucleotides. The record is from Ensembl. Lineage: Eukaryota; Metazoa; Chordata; Mammalia; Didelphimorphia; Didelphidae.